RNAcentral lists this ribosomal RNA (460 nucleotides) under uncultured bacterium. RNAcentral describes it as "partial 16S ribosomal RNA". It matches the Rfam family "Bacterial small subunit ribosomal RNA", at positions 338 to 795 of the family's 1533-position model. The record is from RNAcentral.
CCUACGGGCAGCAGCAGUGAGGAAUAUUGGUCAAUGGACGCAAGUCUGAACCAGCCAUGCCGCGUGCAGGAAGACGGCUCUAUGAGUUGUAAACUGCUUUUGUACGAGGGUAAACUCAGAUACGCGUAUCUGUCUGCAAGUAUCCUACGAAUAAGGAUCGGCUAACUCCGUGCCAGCAGCCGCGGUAAUACGGAGGAUUCAAGCGUUAUCCGGAUUUAUUGGGUUUAAAGGGUGCGUAGGCGGUCGGAUAAGUUCAAGGUGAAAUCGCGAGGCUCAACUUCGGACUUGCCUUUGAUACUGUGAGGCUAGAGAGUAGUUGAGGUAGGCGGAAUGUAUGGUGUAGCGGUGAAAUGCUUAGAGAUCAUACAGAACACCGAUUGCGAAGGCAGCAUACCAAGCUACGUCUGACGUUGAGGCACGAAAGCGUGGGGAGCAAACAGGAUUAGAUACCCGAGUAGUC